AACGAACGCUGGCGGCAUGCCUAACACAUGCAAGUCGAACGAGACCUUCGGGUCUAGUGGCGCACGGGUGCGUAACGCGUGGGAACCUGCCCUUAGGUUCGGAAUAACUCCCCGAAAGGGGUGCUAAUACCGGAUAAUGUCUUCGGACCAAAGAUUUAUCGCCUUUGGAUGGGCCCGCGUUGGAUUAGCUAGUUGGUAGGGUAAAAGCCUACCAAGGCGACGAUCCAUAGCUGGUCUGAGAGGCUGAUCAGCCACACUGGGACUGAGACACGGCCCAGACUCCUACGGGAGGCAGCAGUGGGGAAUAUUGCACCAUGGGCGAAAGCCUGAUCCAGCACUGCCGCGUGAGUGAUGAAGGCCUUAGGGUUGUAAAGCUCUUUUACCCGGGAUGAUAAUGACAGUACCGGGAGAAUAAGCUCCGGCUAACUCCGUG
RNAcentral lists this ribosomal RNA (433 nucleotides) under uncultured bacterium. RNAcentral's name for it is "partial 16S ribosomal RNA". It matches the Rfam family "Bacterial small subunit ribosomal RNA", at positions 29 to 507 of the family's 1533-position model. The record is from RNAcentral.